UGCCUAACAGCUAGCCCACCCAAACAAUUUCAACAAACCCCUGUUAAUAACCCCUAAGUACCCCAGUAUUUAUUUUAAACAAACCAUUUUUCCCCCCUAGUAUAGGCGAUAGAAAAGGGCCUACGGCGCAAUAGAGAAAGUACCGCAAGGGAACGCUGAAAGAGAAGUGAAACAACCCAGUAAAGCCUAAAAAAGCAGAGAUCUAAACUCGUACCUUUUGCAUCAUGAUUUAGCAAGUGUAACCCAAGCAAAGCGUACUUUAGUUUGACGUCCCGAAACUAGGUGAGCUACUCCAAGACAGCCUAUCAAUAGGGCGUACCCGUCUCUGUGGCAAAAGAGUGGGGAGAGCUUUGAGUAGAGGUGACAAACCUACCGAACCUAGUUAUAGCUGGUUGUCCAAGAAAUGAAUAGAAGUUCAGCCUUUCAGCUUCUCUUUUCACCUUAGCCUGACCCCUAUUGAUGUAUUAAAGAAACCGAAAGAGUUAGUCAAAGGGGGUACAGCUCCUUUGAAUCAAGACACAACUUUCCCAGGAGGGUAAAGAUCAUAAUAAUUAAAGCUAAAUGUUCUGGUGGGCCUAAAAGCAGCCAUCCCCUUAGAAAGCGUUAAAGCUCAGACAUGCGACCAUACUUCUUAUCCUGAUCACCCAAUCUUAUCCCCCUAACCGUACUGGACCAUCCCAUGCCAACAUGGGAGUGACUAUGCUGAAAUGAGUAAUAAGAGAGCUAUCGGCUCUCUCCCUGCACACAUGUACAUCGGAACGGACAACCCACCGAACCUUAACGGCCCCAAAUAAAGAGGGCAGUGGAUGUCAGACCAAAAAACUAGAAAACUAUCCAAAAACCAACCGUUAAACCCACACAGGUGUGCCCCCAGGGAAAGACUAAA
RNAcentral lists this ribosomal RNA (886 nucleotides) under Hexagrammos agrammus (spotbelly greenling). RNAcentral's name for it is "partial 16S rRNA". The stretch from base 191 to 886 matches the Rfam family "Bacterial large subunit ribosomal RNA", at positions 566 to 1685 of the family's 2925-position model. Lineage: Eukaryota; Metazoa; Chordata; Actinopteri; Perciformes; Hexagrammidae. The record is from RNAcentral.